Molecule: ribosomal RNA, 1050 nt
Filed under: Triticum aestivum (bread wheat)
Lineage: Eukaryota; Viridiplantae; Streptophyta; Magnoliopsida; Poales; Poaceae
Description: partial small subunit ribosomal RNA
Source: RNAcentral
AUGGCUCCGGCCAGCGUCAUGGCUCCAAGACUUGGUCGAGAGAUGGAUUCGAGCUCUUACCGUAACUGCCUUCAGUGUCCAAGCGAUGGUCAUCACCGCUCACCAGAUGCCGGCGGUCGCACGGUUUGUCAAAGCGAGCAUUGCCAAGAUGCUCAUUUCGUCGAUGUUAUUGCCCCUGUUCUUAGGGUGGAGAAUUUACGGGCCGUGCUAGACAUGUUUACUUGUGUCUCCAAUGCAUCAUACAUGUUUAAGCCGGUCGUGAUCUCUCCGGAAGCCCAAAGCAUAUUCAGCGAGAUAGGCGGCUCGUUGGAGAGACAAGGAGACAGGCUAUAUGAGGUCCUAUCGAGCAUGAUGGAGGAGGUGAGGACACCCAUGGAGGAGGACGACACAUGGGCUAUUGAGAUUCUUCGAGGAGGAGGUGGGGUUCACAGAAACACUCGGUUGAUGGUAGAUUACAUCACAUCCAUGAGGGAAGCAUGUGCAUCGACGCAGAACUGUGCACCGAGCAACAACACCGUAAACCUUGGUGACCUGAUAGAUGACACGAUCGAGUAUCUGGAGGAUCUGCUUCUGAGAAAAUCAGAGCUAUGCUCGGAUCCAAGCCUGAGGUACAUUUUCCUGCUCAACAAUUCCCAUUUCGUAGCACAGGUUUCUGAGCCAUCGGUAUCGCUUUAUCUUGAGCAAUGGUCUGAACUUAACCUUACACCUGAAUGUAAGAAGUUGAUGGAUAGCUAUCUUGAUGUUUCUUGGGGACAUGUCCUAUCCUGCAUACCCAAAUCGAGAUUUCCUGGACCCAUCCAUUGUUGGAUCAACACCUCUUCCCUAACCAAAUUUGAAUCGGCUUUUCGAAAAACUUACCAGGCUCAGAAGUUCUGGAAGGUCCAGGACCCUCAGCUCAGAGAUCUGCUGCGGAGAGCUAUUGCGGAGAGAGUCAUUCCAGGUUACCGCGACUUCCUGGAAGAGCAUCCAGAGCUAGAGAAACACAUUGGCCGCGGAAGCAGCAGUCCUGAGGUUUUCAAGAAGAUGUUGGGAGAGCUAUUUGAAGGAUGA